This is a long non-coding RNA of Arabidopsis thaliana (thale cress), 204 nucleotides long. RefSeq annotates it as other RNA. The record is from RefSeq. The transcript has a single exon. NCBI's taxonomy places the organism in Eukaryota, Viridiplantae, Streptophyta, Magnoliopsida, Brassicales, Brassicaceae.
GAGAGUUGGGGAUUGUUGUAUUAAUAUAUAGUUAGAGAGUGCGUUUUCUCGUCAUGCUCUUGGAAAAAAAUUUCAUUUUUGGGAUUUUUCACACGUGAGAGAUUGAAGCAUGCGCGUCGCAGCCACCCGCACAUACACUUCAUGUUGGCACGCGUGGACCACUUCUUUGUGUUUUCCUCUAUUUGUCUUCUUUGUGCUUCCACA